CGCCGGGGUCGCGGUGUCCUGAGGGGCCCGGGCCGCGAGGGCGACGUCUGCGGCUGCAGCGGCGGAGACUGAGGGAGCCGUCGCGGCCGCGCUCGGGCCGGGAGGGGCCGCUGCCGACGAGACCCAGCCUGAGGACUCCUCUGCAGCCGCGGGUCGCCAUCACGGAAGGGGCGCUGGGCAGAAGUCCGUGCGUGGGCUGAGCGUCGGGCCCUGGGUCCCGGGAUGCCCCUGCCUGAGCCCCGCGAGCAGGAGGCCGAGAGUGGGACAGCCGGCCCGGAGCCGUCGCCCGAGCUGAAACCCAGCAAGCUGGACGCAGCCCCCAAGCCGCUGGAGUUCCUGCGGACCCCGUUUGGGGGCCGCCUCCUGGUGCACAAGUCGUUCCUGUACAGGCAGGAGAAGGCCGUCGGGGACAAGGUGUACUGGAAGUGCCGCCGGCACGCCGGGCUGGGCUGCCGGGGCCGGGCCAUCACCCGCGGCGCCCGGGCCACCGUGAUGCGGGACCACUGCCACCUGCCAGAUGAGGACAGCCUGCAGGCCCUGCCCGAAGCCUCGGGGGACCCUCAGGCCCCCCAGGGCCCUGGAGGCCACAUGGAGGAGCCGGGUGAGGGAGUGGGCCCGUGGCUGGGCCCCGAGGAGUCAGAGCCCACGCCGGGGCAGGUGCUGAGCAAGCCAGCCCUGGAGGAGGAGGAGGAGGAGGGGCCCCGGGCCCUGUCCCUGCUGACUCUGCCUCCCAAGAAGCGCUCGACACUGGGGCUGGGCGAGUACCUGCCACCCAUGCCCCCGUUCGGAGCAGGGCAGGCUGGGCCCCUGGAGUUCCUGAGGACCUGCUAUGGGGGCAGCUUCCUGGUACACGAGCACUUCCUCUACAAGCGGGAGAAGGCAGUGGGGGACAAGGUGUACUGGACGUGCCGGGACCACACGCUGCACGGCUGCCGCAGCCGCGCCAUCACGCAGGGGCAGCGGGUCACGGUCAUGCGCAGCCACUGCCACCCGCCCGACGUGGAGGGCCUGGAGGCCCGGCGGCGGCAGGAGAAGGCGGGCCCGGACGGCCUCGGGGCCCCCGAGGACAAGCCGCUGCCGGCCGUGGACAGUUCGCUGUGCCGCAGGGGCCCGGGCCCCCUGGCACUCUCCAGGCGCCGGCCCAGAAAGCGAGCCAAGCUCGAGGAGCAGGACCUGCCGGACCUGGAGGCUGACCCCGGAGGCCCUGAGUUCCUGAGGACCCCGCUGGGGGGCAGCUUCCUGGUGCACGACUCGUUCCUCUACAGGCGGGAGAAGGCGGCCGGUGAGAAGGUGUACUGGACGUGCCGGGACCAGGCCCGCAUGGGCUGCCGCAGCCGUGCCAUCACCCAGGGCCGCCGUGUCACUGUGAUGCGCGGGCACUGCCACCCGCCCGACCUGGCCGGCCUCGAGGCCCUGCGGCAGCGGGAGAAGCGACCCGGCCCAGCCCAGCGGGAGAGCCCAGCUGGCCCCGAAUUCCUGAGGACCCCGCUGGGGGGUAGCUUCCUGGUGCACGACUCGUUCCUCUACAGGCGGGAGAAGGCGGCCGGCGAGAAGGUGUACUGGACGUGCCGGGACCAGGCCCGCAUGGGCUGCCGCAGCCGCGCCAUCACCCAGGGCCAGCGCGUCAUGGUCAUGCGCAGGCACUGCCACCCGCCUGACCUGGCCGGCCUCGAGGCCCUGCGACAGCGGGAGAAUCUCCCCAACCUGACCCACUGGGAAGGCCCAGAGCCCACGGAGCCCCUGGAGUUCCUGCGGACGUCGCUCGGGGGCAGGUUCCUGGUGCACGACUCCUUCCUCUACAGGAAGGAGAAGGCGGCCGGCGGGAAGGUGUACUGGAUGUGCCGGGACCAAGGCCGCACCGGCUGCCGCAGCCGCGCCAUCACCCAGGGCCAGCGCGUCAUGGUCAUGCGCAGCCACUGCCACCCGCCUGACCUGGCCGGCCUCGAGGCCCUGCGGCAGCGGGAGCGGCUGCCCGGCCGGGCCCCGCAGCGAGAGCCAGAGAAGACACAGCUCCUGCCUGACGCGCAGCUGGGCUUGGAGACAGCUUCGGCCGAGAGCCAGCAGAGCGACAGGUGCGGGGUACAGUAUCAAAGCACCAAAACCAGCUGCACUUCCGUUCAUUCACAAUGAACAUCCCAGGAGUGAAGUCCGGGAGACAGUGACGUUCCGGGGACAUCAGUGACACAGGCACACCUCGCCCCCGAACGCACGGGACCAGGUGGAAUCUGACACGACAGGCCAGUGGGAACAUCCCCUGUGCUCGUGGAUCUGUGUGCAAACUCCAGGAGCCCUGAACAGUCAGAGCUACAGCGUAACGAGCAAAGUCGACAACUUACACUCUCGGUAUCAAAACUUGCCACUGGCCGGUGCUGUGGUGUCGCAGGUCAAGCCGCUGCCUGCGACCCAGACAUCCCUUCCAGAUGCUGGUUCAAGUCCCCGCUGCGCCACUUCUCAUCCAGCUCCCUGGGAGUGCACCUGGGAAAGCAGCGGAAGACGGCCUGAGGACUUGGGCCCCUGCACCCACAUGGGAGACCCGGAUGGAGCUCCUGGCUUUGACAUGGCUGUUGGGGCCAUUUGCGGAGUGAACCAGUGGAUGGGAGCGCUCCAUCUCUGUCACUCUGCCUUUCAAACCAAUGUUUCUUUCAAAACAAAAACCACCAUAAAGUGUCAGUACUAAGACAGCGUGGUACUGGCCCAGGGACCAGCAUCCACCAGAAUCGGAAUACUUCCGCCCCGAUGGACAGGACAAGGGGAGGGAGGAGCGAUGGUUGCACCGCACUGGGCACUCCCGGGGCCACAGAUGGGAGGCCCAGGGCCCCUCCUCGCACAGAACACAGCAGCCACUUCCGCCCCACCACGGAGCUGUCCUGAGAGCUUGAGUUACAAAACCCAUUUUCAAGACGAGUAAAUCUUCGACACCCUGAAUCAGCCAGGGGUUUGGACAGGAGACCAGGAGCAUAAACCCCCAGUCCGAGGGAAAUCCGACCUCGUCACAGGGGUGCCACACGUGGGAUUUGGACAGGAGACCAGGAGCAUAAACCCCCAGUCCGAGGGAAAUCCGACCUCGUCACGGGGUGCCACACGUGUCCCGUGCCAUCAGGGACGAAAGGGCGACCUGAUAUAGGACACUUGUCCAUCACACACGCACCUGACUGGCAUUCUCGGCCCACAGGACACCUGACCAGGACUCUCGGCCCACAGGGCUGUGUAGACUUUAACCAGACCCAGGCUGACGGGGGUGAAGACACAGCCGAAUAGCUGUCCCACCUCUCCCCACUCCCAGGCACAGGCUGCUGCCGCGCACGGGGCCCCAUGCCCACUGCCAGCGUCCAGGGACUGCGGGUGAUGACCUCGGCGAGACCCCGCCCUCCACCCUCGGUGUGACAGGAGCACGAGAGACUCACAGCCCGACGGCGAGUCCCAGUGAGGCCCCUCCUGCUGCAUGGGGACCCCCGCCCCUCCCGGCACCCACAGCCUGUGCACCGCCAGCCAGGGCUCUUGGUAGUGCCGGGGCAGGUGGCCUGCACACCUGAGCGAGUGACAGCUCCGAAGCAGCACCGUGUGCAGACGCCUUGGCCGGGGUCCUCCCAGCGGGGGGCAGCCUGCUUCCCCUCAGCCAACUCAGAGCCCAGUGCGCGCCACGCCACUGACCACGCCAGAGCCUGCCACGUUCCACUCAAACGACACAGACCAUCCCACUCUGCGCUGCGGACUCCUGCGCAACUUGCCAGAGACCACCACCCACCACACUGACCACGCCACAGACCAUUCCACUCUGCGCUACGGACCCCUGCACACCGCACCAGACUCCCCACAGGAGCCCAGGGGCCUCCCGGGCAUCGCUCCUGCGCCAGGCUGCAGCCAGCCCCAUCCGUAAUGGCCCGGUCGGCAGCGGCCCCACCACGCCCUCUGGGUGCUGUCCUGCCUGCGCCCUGCUCCUGGCUCUGCCUAUGACCGGGUCCCCCGCCAGGUGGCGCUGCCACGGGGGCCUGAGCGCAGCUGUGGGCGGGACUCUGCCCAUGACCGGGUCCCCCACCAGGUGGCGCUGCCGCCGGGUCCUGAGCACAGCUGUGGGCGGGACUCUGCCCAUGACCGGGUCCCCCACCAGGUGGCGCUGCCGCCGGGUCCUGAGCACAGCUGUGGGCGGGACUCUGCCCAUGACCGGGUUCCCCACCAGGUGGCGCUGCCGCCGGGUCCUGAGCGCAGCUGCCUGCGCUGCCCAGGUUCAUCUGAAGCCAGAGGACAGCUGGGUGGGGUAGGUGCCGACGGAGCCCUCAUGGGGCCAAGCUGGCACCACGGGCACUCAGGGCCCUGCCUGGACAGCGGGUCCCCGUGCCCACCCUGUCAUGGGAGAGGGAGCAGCGGGCACUGUGUGUGGCAGGCUCCACCCCGGCAAGCUGGCUGUGGAGCUGUCCGCCCGCCUAGGGGGCAGCGAUGCUGGUGCCCCUGCUGUCCCUCUGUCCCCUCCCCCAAUAAAGACCAUGUGACCUC
RNA transcript from Lepus europaeus (European hare), 4491 nucleotides. It is a transcript of the gene named FLYWCH-type zinc finger 1, with no coding region annotated. The transcript is spliced from 10 exons. The record is from RefSeq and is a predicted model, not a curated record. NCBI's taxonomy places the organism in Eukaryota, Metazoa, Chordata, Mammalia, Lagomorpha, Leporidae.